CUCCAGCGCGGUACAGCGCCUCGUCCAGCUCCAUUCAAGCGGAUACCUAUAGCGCCUGGUGGAUCCAAAACGCUUGUUGUGCGUGCUAUUCGCGGCGUCGGCGGCCAGCGCGCUGUCGCUGCCGCUCGCCCGUCGAGAGGUGUCCCCUACCGACCAGCGGGCCGACCCGUCCCUGCUGCUCUACUCGUCAGCCGUGCCGUCGGCGGUUGGCCUUGCCGGCCUGCCGAUCGUCCAGUCGCCGAUCGUCCAGUCGCCGAUCGUCCAGUCGCCGCUAAUUUGGAGGAAAAAGAGGGAUGUCGGCGCUGCCGAGAUGGACCAGCAGGCCGAUCCCGCCCUGCUUGUAUACUCCGCCCUGCCCAUAAGCUCCAGUAUUUACUCGCCGUUUAUCUGGAGAAAGAAGCGGGACACUGCUGACCAGAGUGCCGACGCGUCAACGAUCCUGUACAGCAUGCCGUUGAGGUCCAGCAUUCUCAGAAACAGCGCCUUCGUUAUGCCGCUGCUGAAGAAGUAGACUCGUGAGCUCCUUGACCAUGCCUUACACUAGUCGUGCCCUGACUUUGAAUAUCAUUUGUGACAACAUAAGCCCCUCACAGUGUCUGCAGCCUGUGCAGGACUUUCAGGUGGUGGCUGCCUCAGUAUUCGUAAGCAAAUACAAAUAGUAUUAACCCUC
This is a long non-coding RNA of Amphibalanus amphitrite, 670 nucleotides long. RefSeq lists it as uncharacterized. Lineage: Eukaryota; Metazoa; Arthropoda; Thecostraca; Balanomorpha; Balanidae. The record is from RefSeq and is a predicted model, not a curated record. The transcript has 2 exons.